Nerophis ophidion (straightnose pipefish) is the source of this 1313-nucleotide long non-coding RNA. RefSeq lists it as uncharacterized. The transcript has 3 exons. NCBI's taxonomy places the organism in Eukaryota, Metazoa, Chordata, Actinopteri, Syngnathiformes, Syngnathidae. The record is from RefSeq and is a predicted model, not a curated record.
UUAUAGUGCAAGGAGCGAGCAAAAGAAGCCCGACCUUUGGAUAUUUAGGGUACGCAAAGUGGCAUCCGUCUAUUUGGUUUUGAGUCUAGAGUAAUCAAUUAAUGCGAUCCACCCUAUUUAGUCAUACUUGCACACUUGGGCUUGCAGACCCUGCACCCUCAAAAGCCUCACUGACCUUCUGGAGGGCUCCGAGGAACUCAGCGGAGAGGACGCCCGAGCCGAUGACUUGGACAAGAGGAGCUUCGUGGAGCUGCUGGUGAAGAUGCUACAACUGGAUCCCACGGAAAGGAUCAAACCGCAGCAGAUCCUCCAGCAUCCCUUCAUCACGAUGAGCCACCUGGUCGGGGACUUUACCGACUGCCAAUAUGUCAAAUCCUCCAGAGACCUCCUCAACGAACAUUUGGCCCAGUCCGUUUUAAACCAAGGAGACGUCCAGCAGUCGGAAACCGCUUGACAAUGCGCAAGACGGUUGAGGAUUUAUAGAAAACCAGGAGGAACAAAGACUGUUUUGUUUUGUGGAAUGUAUUUUAUGGAAACAAAAAAACAUAUACAGAAACUACAGCGUCGUAAAUCUUUGUUGGGUGACUUUAUACCGGCACUCUUUGUCACGCACCACAGGACAGGAAGUCCCAUUCAAUUUAGAUAAGUGCUUUUUAAUCCCCCUGUAGAACAUUGAAUACAUCUCAGCUUCCAUGGCUAACACAGGUUCAAUGCUCUGCUAGUGGCUUCAGCCCAUCUCUUCAAACCAAUAACGAUGGCAUCCACACAUUUUUGAAUGUACCGGAAUUGUAAAACACAGGAAGCAUUUAAAAGCGUAAUGCUGUAGAAACAAGGACCAAUCCCAACAUGAAUGUCAGCCAUUUUAUAUGAUUUCCCUAAAUGUCACCGCCUGCAUCCCGCUCAUGCCGCCUCAGCAUGUGCUCUGCACAUUUCUUUGGCUUGAACCAGAUCACCUGACAGGAUUUCCCUCUUAAUUUAACUACGUGGCGCAUCACCACAGCAAAAUCAUAGCCGUCACACCCAAAAAUAAGUGUUUUUUUUUACGGGAAAACAAAUUCAAGUAACAAUGUAUUGAGCCUCCAGAAAAAGUCACACAAAGUCUGACGCUAUUUUUAACAUUUAUUGCCAAUUAUAUGAUAACGGCACAAUUCCUACAGGUUUUAGCUCCCGUGCACACAAUCUGGGGUCUGGCAUGCCUGGCAAACAUCAGGACAAGAGCACUGCUCUGCUGUUCAAUGUUCUUCAGGGUUUUACUGCCAGAAACUACUGCCGAAAAGUUAGGUGCACUCUGCUUUUUUUGCACGUUUAACAAU